RNAcentral lists this ribosomal RNA (253 nucleotides) under uncultured bacterium. Its description in RNAcentral is "partial 16S ribosomal RNA". It matches the Rfam family "Bacterial small subunit ribosomal RNA", at positions 524 to 776 of the family's 1533-position model. The record is from RNAcentral.
UACAGAGGUCCCAAGCGUUGUUCGGAUUCACUGGGCGUAAAGGGUGCGUAGGUGGCGAGGUAAGUCGGAUGUGAAAGCUCGGAGCUCAACUCCGAAAUGGCAUUGGAAACUACCUUGCUCGAGGGUUGGAGGGGGGACUGGAAUUCUCGGUGUAGCAGUGAAAUGCGUAGAUAUCAGGAGGAACACCAAUGGCGAAGGCAGCACUCUGGGACGUGACUGACGCUGAGACGCGAAAGCGUGGGGAGCAAACAGG